Non-coding RNA from Nicotiana tabacum (common tobacco), 803 nucleotides. The record is from RefSeq and is a predicted model, not a curated record. NCBI's taxonomy places the organism in Eukaryota, Viridiplantae, Streptophyta, Magnoliopsida, Solanales, Solanaceae.
CCCCCUCCCCCUCCCCAACCUCUUGAAGAAAUGGCACUCACUCUCCAUCUCCAACAAAAAUCAGCCCCACAACAUUAGAAGAAAAAAAAAAGCAGCCGAAACAUUAGCAAAAGGCUUUUCGAAAAACAUUGUUCAACAGUUUUCUUUAAGCAAAAGUCAAGAGAAAAAGUAGUUCCUUUUUUUGGAAUUCAACCUCAAAUAUUUCGAGUUCUGGGUUUAGAUUUUCGGGUUCAUUUUGCUGGCUAUCGCACAAAGUGUUGUUGCAUUUGCUGUUAAUCCUUGCUGCAAUCGAUUGUUUAAUAGAACGACAGAUUUCUUCAUUGUUGAUUUUUCUGCAACUAGGUUGGAUAAUUUACCAAGACUUGCGUCUUGCAUAACCUUUUGUAUAUGGGUAAAAUCGAGCUUGCCCGAUUUUGCCAUUAUUUCGAGAUCAGAGAACUGCAUUGAGGGACAGCCUCGUAAUAGGCUAGGCCUGAGCACGAAGACAAGGUACCGAGUUCGGAGAUCUACGUACCAAAAGAGAUCGAGGUCCCCGACGAUCGAGACCAGAGUUGAUCAACUUCGAGCGGAACGCAAUAACGGAAAGGCAAAAUAUCUGUGACCGGUCGGGGGGCAUGGCGGAAAUCUCGGAAUGGAUCAAAUUAAGGGCGGUUAUUUGUAUCAAUCAUGGGAUUUACUUCCGCAAUUAGAAUUGUACCACAAUUAGGAUUCCUCUAGUAUAUAAAGAGGGGCCCCAUCAUUUGUACACACCUUACAUUUAUACAGAUCAAGACAAUAUAAUAUUUCUCUAUUGUUCAUCGGCU